GGACCCGUAGCACAGCUUGGAUAGUGCGGACGCUUGCGGAGCGUCAGGUCGUGGGUUCGAGUCCCCCCGGGCCCGCCA
RNAcentral lists this transfer RNA (78 nucleotides) under Nitrososphaerota archaeon. RNAcentral describes it as "Thaumarchaeota archaeon tRNA-Arg". It matches the Rfam family "tRNA". Rfam says of the family: Transfer RNA (tRNA) molecules are approximately 80 nucleotides in length. Lineage: Archaea; Thermoproteati; Nitrososphaerota. The record is from RNAcentral. RNAcentral also lists the same sequence under 2 other names.